RNAcentral lists this transfer RNA (62 nucleotides) under Euaesthetus ruficapillus. Its description in RNAcentral is "tRNA-Arg". The record is from RNAcentral. Lineage: Eukaryota; Metazoa; Arthropoda; Insecta; Coleoptera; Staphylinidae.
UAAUAAGAAGCAAAUUAUUGCAUUUAGUUUCGACCUAAAAGUUUGAGUAAACUCCUUAUUUU